CAGUCGUGCCGGCGUUGGAUUCAGCUUGCUUCGCGGAGCAGGCGCAUUUCCGCGCAUGGCAGGUCAGCGUCAGUUUUGCGCGGCGUGAAAAGGCCCGGGUAAGGUAGCUCUCUUCGGGGAGUGUUAUAGACCUGGGCAGAUGCGCUGCGCGGGACUGAGGAUUACAGCGGACACCCUUCGGGGGCGCGGCGACCCGAACCCUGCUCGGCCACCCUCGUCGAUAGCGUGCUAGCGGACGCGGGAGCGACAGUGCACCGGAAC
This 261-nucleotide ribosomal RNA is filed under the name Paraglomus laccatum. Lineage: Eukaryota; Fungi; Glomeromycota; Glomeromycetes; Paraglomerales; Paraglomeraceae. The record is from RNAcentral.